UCUGCGAUGGUGUAAUGGUAGCAUUUCUGCAUCAGUUGUGAUACCCGCCUUCGGGGGGGUGUCAAAGCGCAGAAGAUCGAGGUUCGAUUCCUCGUUGCGGAA
Molecule: transfer RNA, 102 nt
Filed under: Lachnellula suecica
Lineage: Eukaryota; Fungi; Ascomycota; Leotiomycetes; Helotiales; Lachnaceae
Description: tRNA-Sec
Rfam family: tRNA
About the family: Transfer RNA (tRNA) molecules are approximately 80 nucleotides in length. Their secondary structure includes four short double-helical elements and three loops (D, anti-codon, and T loops).
Source: RNAcentral